UUUGUGUUUCCUAUAAAAGCUUUUGUAUAGAAAAAUAACUCACCUUUCUCUUGCAGAACUUCCUCACCUUGAAUUCAAGUCUGAGGAGCCAAACAGCCACAGUUAUUCUGAGGCCUUUUAUACCUCGUGGGAUUUGCUCCUCCUUUUCCUGCAAAUGAGGGGUGGUCCCAAUCAGGGGUAUAUUAACCUCAGCCUUUGCUAAGGGCCUUCAUUCCUUCUCUGGGAAUCAACUGGGAUAAGGGUUCUCCUCUCAUUUCAAUACAGAGGAUGUUUCACCUUAUCUCAGUUUGUAUUUUAGCAGAUGCUUUUGGGCAUCUGUAGCAAAGGCUUUGAAAAUUCAGUGAAGAAAAUAGCAUUAAAUACACUGAGCAUUUAAGUGCAUAGUUUUGGGUUAUGUAUUCAGAGGUAAUUAGGUGCUUUUGUAAUUUUUUUUGUGCUCUUGGGCUUUUUUUUUUUUUUUAGGUGGAUUACAGCUUCUUAAAAUUUCAGUUUGUGUUAAGUAUGAGACCUGAGAUUUUUUUCAGCACCUUUGUCAUAUGACAAAUGGCAUCUGACCUGUGUUAAAGAUGUUUGAGGUUAAAGCUUCAGGUGAGUAAAGGGAGAGGGAGAGUGAGCAGGCUAUCCAGUUAGGAGUUACCUUAGAGCGUUGGGUGGACGUGGUUUGAAGGCAGUACGGUGUAAAAUGUCCAUUGGUGGGCCCUCGAGACUUUUCACAAGUGCGGCAGAUGUAUUUGCACAUCUUACAGCGCAUGAGCUCACCUACCUCGCUCACAGAAAUGCCACCUAACUUUGUCUCUUCCUAACCCAGGUGCCCAUUGUAACAGCCCCAGCCUCAGGCUCUGGCUGGAGCUGGAGACUCAAGGACCCCAGCACGCUCAGGAGAGGUGUAGGUGACGCAGAGAGAGGAGCCCGGCGAUGGCAGCGAUGUCCCGGACAUCGAGGGAGCCUCGCUUCGCACCUACACUGGAUUUGCCUCUCUGGGUGUCUGACAGAUAAGCGAAGGGCUGUGAUUCACAGAGGGGAUGACAGAGGGGUGCUGGGUCUGUAAUUGUCAGGAGGGGUUUCUGAGGCAGCUUUGGAGAUGGGGAUGUCCAAGAAGCAGCCCCUUAGGCCCCAUGAGAGGCAAGUCUCAAUUUGAUCUCAAUGCUGAAAUGCACAGGGCAGAGCAGUUCUGGUGGGUGUCAUGACACUUGUUUAUCAUGCACUGUGUGUCUUUUGAGUGUGUUGUAUUGCAUGUCUUGAGUCUAAGCCCUUUGAGGGGCAUAUCAGAAAUUCUGGGCUAAUUUUUAGCCUCCGCUUUCCUUGGUCUGAUGCUGGCCCAUGGGAGCGUGGGCUGGCAUGGUAAUCACAUCUCUGCUUGGAAACAUCCAGUCUGAUGUCUUUUAAGGUCUUCUUCUGAGCUGUAUUGACAGCUGUACACCACAAGGGUCUGUUACAGAGGUUUAGGAUGUGGAAGAAUGUGAAAGUAGGGAGAGGAUUCUGACCAGAAAUUUCUCAGGCAUCCAUCUCUUCAGUUCUUGGGAUUAAUGCUUCUGCUAGCAUCUUCUUCCGGCCUCAUCAUUGCCCCAUCAGUCUCCCCCCAGUCAUCCCAUCUUUCAUUCUCUCAGUCCUCAUGAUCCUUCUUCCUGCUGGGAGAUUUUUUUUUCUUUUUUCCCCUCCCCAUGUCCUCCCCUCGUUUGUCAUGUCCUGUGUCACGGGUGCCUGCACGCAUUUGGCCAGGAGCUGCUCUGCCCUGCUGUGUAGUCUGGGUAGAGGGGUGCUAGGACCAGUCCUAGGGACUUGCUUUUAAUGAUGUGGGAUGGGGUUGGACUCUAGUUGAGAUCUGCAGAUUGAUCCCAGUUCUCUGGAGGGGUUGGGCUGACCUGCAGCACUUUGACUUUUGUCCUGCCUCUGUUUCAAAUGCAGAUGGAUCCAAGUUGAGGACAAGGCCCCCCCUGGGAAAUGAAGCUGGAUAUCAGCAGGCCAGGCAGUGCCCUUGAACUACCCUGAGAUGGCUCUGCCCAGCUGGCCCAGAGACCCAGUUCACUGCUCCUGUGAGCCCUCCAGCAGUAUUACAGGAGUCUGAUGAAGCCUUCACCUUCUCCUAUUUGAAGAUGCCAACUGGGUGACCUUUGGCAAGAGCCGAGCAGUUGGGGUCUAUUUUGUGAUGAUGGCAUCAGACUGAGUGCAGCUGAACUGUGUGACCUGAGGCCCUGGGCAUUCUUGGGAGAUGCUGACUAAGGGACAACAGCCCAAUGAUGGCAGGAAUUUCCCAGAUGGUGAAGCUUUUUUACUGCACACCUGGCCUGGAUUCUCAUACCUGGAUCUCUGACAG
This is a long non-coding RNA of Catharus ustulatus (Swainson's thrush), 2314 nucleotides long. RefSeq lists it as uncharacterized. The record is from RefSeq and is a predicted model, not a curated record. The transcript is spliced from 6 exons. Lineage: Eukaryota; Metazoa; Chordata; Aves; Passeriformes; Turdidae.